RNAcentral lists this non-coding RNA (62 nucleotides) under unclassified sequences. RNAcentral's name for it is "L31-Actinobacteria ribosomal protein leader". It matches the Rfam family "L31-Actinobacteria ribosomal protein leader". The record is from RNAcentral.
GCGGUACCGGUUCACGCCACGAGGGCCCUGCUGACGGCAGGAUGCCCGGCGACCCGGCGACC